Molecule: long non-coding RNA, 750 nt
Filed under: Gallus gallus (chicken)
Lineage: Eukaryota; Metazoa; Chordata; Aves; Galliformes; Phasianidae
Source: RNAcentral
AGCUCUCAGCUGCAGGGCCCAGGGUGGCCCCUGGCAUCCCACGGGGAACCCCAGGAGGUGGCACUGAGCUGUCACUGUCACUCCCAUGCCCACCCUCCCGUGCCCAGUGCCUACCUUGCAGGGUGCUGCUCGAGCAUCGCUCCCCAAGUGCCACGGUGCUCAGACUCAAGGGGCUGCACCAGGUGCCAGGAUGCCACCAUGGCCUGAUGCUGCGAGUGUCCCCUCCCAGUGAGCCAGCAGGUCCAGCACAGCAGUGGUGACAGUGUCCCACCUGGGCGCUCGCAGUGGCUCAGGAGUACUGGCAAUCCCACAGGCUCCCACGUGCCCUGAUGGCAGGUCCCCCCUCGGGGUCAGCAUCUGUCGGAGGGGAUGAGGUGCGUGGCAGGGCUGGCAUGGAGGAGAGGACAGUCCGGCCAGGGAGGUGGCGAGGCACGGUGGCACGGCACGGCAUCACUCGGCGCUGGCACGUUCCCGCAGUGCAGGCAGUGUCAGGGUCUCCGGCGCUGACUUCUUGCGGGGCCGAGCUUUGGGGGGGGCGAGGAAGUCGGGAGCAUCGUCGCUGAGAGGGGUGGAGGGGGCACUGGCAGGGGCCGAGUGCGUGGCUGUGGGCUGCCCCACCUCGCUGACCGAAAUGGUGGGGGCCACCAGGCCGAUGAUCUCGUUGGUGGCCUCCUGGGUCUCCCGCUCGUACCGCCGCACCUCCUCCAUCGUCAUGCCGCACCACUCGUCCACCCAGGUGAAGGCUUGCCG